AGUGAACGCUGGCGGUAGGCCUAACACAUGCAAGUCGAACGGCAGCACAGUAAGAGCUUGCUCUUACGGGUGGCGAGUGGCGGACGGGUGAGGAAUACAUCGGAAUCUACUUUUUCGUGGGGGAUAACGUAGGGAAACUUACGCUAAUACCGCAUACGACCUACGGGUGAAAGCAGGGGAUCUUCGGACCUUGCGCGAUUGAAUGAGCCGAUGUCGGAUUAGCUAGUUGGCGGGGUAAAGGCCCACCAAGGCGACGAUCCGUAGCUGGUCUGAGAGGAUGAUCAGCCACACUGGAACUGAGACACGGUCCAGACUCCUACGGGAGGAAGCAGUGGGGAAUAUUGGGCAAUGGGCGCAAGCCUGAUCCAGCCAUACCGCGUGGGUGAAGAAGGCCUUCGGGUUGUAAAGCCCUUUUGUUGGGAAAGAAAAGCAGCAGGUUAAUACCCCGCUGUUCUGACGGUACCCAAAGAAUAAGCACCGGCUAACUUCGUG
This 492-nucleotide ribosomal RNA is filed under the name uncultured bacterium. Its description in RNAcentral is "partial 16S ribosomal RNA". It matches the Rfam family "Bacterial small subunit ribosomal RNA", at positions 29 to 507 of the family's 1533-position model. The record is from RNAcentral.